UACGGAGGGUGCAAGCGUUACUCGGAAUCGCUGGGCGUAAAGGGCGCGUAGGCGGCCUAGCAAGUCUGGUGUGAAAGCCCAGGGCUCAACCCUGGAAGGGCACUGGAAACUGUUAGGCUUGAGUUCCGGAGAGGAGGGGGGAAUUCCCGGUGUAGCGGUGAAAUGCGUAGAUAUCGGGAGGAAUACCGGUGGCGAAGGCGCCCCUCUGGACGGAAACUGACGCUGGGGAGCGAAAGCGUGGGGAGCAAACAGG
This 253-nucleotide ribosomal RNA is filed under the name uncultured bacterium. RNAcentral's name for it is "partial 16S ribosomal RNA". It matches the Rfam family "Bacterial small subunit ribosomal RNA", at positions 524 to 776 of the family's 1533-position model. The record is from RNAcentral.